GUGGGGAAUUUUGGACAAUGGGGGCAACCCUGAUCCAGCCAUUCCGCGUGAGUGAAGAAGGCCUUCGGGUUGUAAAGCUCUUUCAGCAGGAACGAAACGGUGGCCACUAAUACUGGCUACUAAUGACGGUACCUGAAGAAGAAGCACCGGCUAACUACGUGCCAGCAGCCGCGGUAAUACGUAGGGUGCGAGCGUUAAUCGGAAUUACUGGGCGUAAAGCGUGCGCAGGCGGUUCCAUAAGACAGAUGUGAAAUCCCCGGGCUUAACCUGGGAACUGCGUUUGUGACUGUGGGACUCGAGUGUGGCAGAGGGGGGUGGAAUUCCACGUGUAGCAGUGAAAUGCGUAGAGAUGUGGAGGAACACCGAUGGCGAAGGCAGCCCCCUGGGUCAACACUGACGCUCAUGCACGAAAGCGUGGGGAGCAAACAGGAUUAGAAACCCUUGUAGUCC
This 450-nucleotide ribosomal RNA is filed under the name uncultured Rhodocyclaceae bacterium. Its description in RNAcentral is "bacterial SSU rRNA". It matches the Rfam family "Bacterial small subunit ribosomal RNA", at positions 354 to 796 of the family's 1533-position model. Lineage: Bacteria; Pseudomonadati; Pseudomonadota; Betaproteobacteria; Rhodocyclales; Rhodocyclaceae. The record is from RNAcentral.